GGAAAAGCUGAGGAAUAGAGAUUUCUCCCAUUUGAUUGGCAAUCUAGACCUGGUGACCACCUUCAGACCACUUCAAUUUCCUUGUCCCUCUUAGCAACCAUAAAUGGUGAAAAACAACCUAAAUUUUAAUGAGAGACAAGUGAAGAGAGAAGCUUCCUUGCUGCGAGCUUCCGAAGGCAAUUCUGGCCGAUAUCAACGUCGAAUCACAAUAAAAUUAGUGGCAUCAGAGUCUUGGGAUCGGAAGCUUUCAAUAUCGAUCCACUGUCCUCGCAUACUAACUACCCAAAGAAGAUAGAUUGUUGCAAGGAAGUCGAUGGCUUUUGAGGCUAAUUUCAAAUAAAUGGAGUACCAUUUCAACGAUCCGCCACUCUGAUAAUAUUUUUCUUCCUCUUAGCUUCCUUUGGCUACGGCUGUAUUCGUUCUGGAUACUAGAUGAUAGUUACAUUCAAUGAAAGGUCGAAAUUCUCUUGGUUGAUUUUGAGUAAUCAAAGAGGAUUUUGGAAAAAUGACUUCACAUUUGU
This 521-nucleotide unclassified non-coding RNA is filed under the name Hevea brasiliensis (rubber tree). The record is from RNAcentral. Lineage: Eukaryota; Viridiplantae; Streptophyta; Magnoliopsida; Malpighiales; Euphorbiaceae.